RNAcentral lists this ribosomal RNA (274 nucleotides) under uncultured bacterium. RNAcentral describes it as "partial 16S ribosomal RNA". It matches the Rfam family "Bacterial small subunit ribosomal RNA", at positions 523 to 796 of the family's 1533-position model. The record is from RNAcentral.
AUACGAAAGGUGCAAGCGUUGUUCGGAUUUACUGGGCGUAAAGAGAGUGUAGGUGGUUUAUUAAGUCGGAUGUGAAAUCCCGGGGCUCAACCUCGGAACUGCAUUCGAUACUGAUAGGCUAGAGUUUGGGAGGGGUAAGCGGAAUUCCGUGUGUAGCAGUGAAAUGCGUAGAUAUACGGAGGAACACCUGAGGCGAAGGCGGCUUACUGGACCAAUACUGACACUGAGACUCGAAAGCGUGGGUAGCAAACAGGAUUAGAUACCCCUGUAGUCC